UUUUUCGAGAGUUUGAUCCUGGCUCAGGAUGAACGCUGGCUGUGUGCCUAAUACAUGCAUGUCGAGCGAAGAACUUCGGUUCUUAGCGGCGAAUGGGUGAGUAACACGUGCUCAACGUACCCUUCAGAUUGGAAUAGCGGUUGGAAACAGCCGAUAAUACCAAAUACCCGUAAAUUUCGCAUGAAGUUUACGUAAAAGGUCCGUUUGGACCGCUGGAGGAGCGGGGUGCGUAACAUUAGCUUGUUGGUGAGGUAACGGCUCACCAAGGCGAUGAUGUUUAGCGGGGUUGAGAGACUGAACCGCCACACUGGGACUGAGAUACGGCCCAGACUCCUACGGGAGGCAGCAGUAGGGAAUAUUCCACAAUGGACGAAAGUCUGAUGGAGCGACACAGCGUGCAGGAUGACGGCCCCAUGGGUUGUAAACUGCUGUGGUAAGGGAAGAAAAAGUAGUGUAGGAAAUGACAUUACCUUGACGGUACCUUAUUAGAAAGCAACGGCUAACUAUGUGCCAGCAGCCGCGGUAAUACAUAGGUUGCAAGCGUUAUCCGGAAUUAUUGGGCGUAAAGCGUCUGUAGGUUGUUUGUUAAGUUCGGCGUUAAAUUUUGGGGCUCAACCCCAAACCGCGUUGAAUACUGGCAAACUAGAGUUAUGUAGAGGUAAGCGGAAUUCCUUGUGAAGCGGUGAAAUGCGUAGAUAUAAGGAAGAACACCAAAAUGGCGAAGGCAGCUUACUGGGCAUAUACUGACACUGAGAGACGAAAGCGUGGGGAGCAAACAGGAUUAGAUACCCUGGUAGUCCACGCCCUAAACGAUGAUCAUUAGCUGAUGGAGAGUUCGUCGGCGCAGCUAACGCAUUAAAUGAUCCGCCUGAGUAGUACGUUCGCAAGAAUAAAACUUAAAGGAAUUGACGGGGACCCGCACAAGCGGUGGAGCAUGUGGUUUAAUUUGAGAAUACGCGUAGAACCUUACCCACUCUUGACAUCUUCUGCAAAGCUAUAGAGAUAUAGUGGAGGUUAACAGAAUGACAGAUGGUGCAUGGUUGUCGUCAGCUCGUGUCGUGAGAUGUUCGGUUAAGUCCUGCAACGAGCGCAACCCUUAUCCUUAGUUACUAACAUUUAGUUGAGCACUCUAAGGAGACUGCCCGAGUAAUUGGGAGGAAGGUGGGGACGACGUCAAAUCAUCAUGCCUCUUACGAGUGGGGCAACACACGUGCUACAAUGGUCGGUACAAAGAGAAGCAAACUGGUGACAGGGAGCAAACCUCAAAAAACCGAUCUCAGUUCGGAUUGGAGUCUGCAACUCGACUCCAUGAAGUCGGAAUCGCUAGUAAUCGUAGAUCAGCUACGCUACGGUGAAUACGUUCUCGGGUCUUGUACACACCGCCCGUCAAACCAUGGGAGCUGGUAAUGCCCGAAGUCGGUUUAUAAACAAACUGCCUAAGGCAGGACUGGUGACUGGGGUUAAGUCGUAACAAGGUAUCCCUACGAGAACGUGGGGAUGGAUCACCUCCUUU
Molecule: ribosomal RNA, 1513 nt
Filed under: Mycoplasma sp. Mirounga ES2805-ORL
Lineage: Bacteria; Bacillati; Mycoplasmatota; Mollicutes; Mycoplasmatales; Mycoplasmataceae
Description: Bacterial small subunit ribosomal RNA
Rfam family: Bacterial small subunit ribosomal RNA
Source: Rfam by way of RNAcentral